AGCGUACACGGUGGAUGCCCUGGCAGUCAGAGGCGAUGAAGGACGUGCUAAUCUGCGAUAAGCGUCGGUAAGGUGAUAUGAACCGUUAUAACCGGCGAUUUCCGAAUGGGGAAACCCAGUGUGAUUCGUCACACUAUCAUUAACUGAAUCCAUAGGUUAAUGAGGCGAACCGGGGGAACUGAAACAUCUAAGUACCCCGAGGAAAAGAAAUCAACCGAGAUUCCCCCAGUAGCGGCGAGCGAACGGGGAGGAGCCCAGAGUCUGAAUCAGUGUGUGUGUUAGUGGAAGCGUCUGGAAAGGCGUGCGAUACAGGGUGACAGCCCCGUACACAAAAAUGCACAUAUUGUGAGCUCGAUGAGUAGGGCGGGACACGUGGUAUCCUGUCUGAAUAUGGGGGGACCAUCCUCCAAGGCUAAAUACUCCUGACUGACCGAUAGUGAACCAGUACCGUGAGGGAAAGGCGAAAAGAACCCCGGCGAGGGGAGUGAAAAAGAACCUGAAACCGUGUACGUACAAGCAGUGGGAGCCUCUUAAUGGGGUGACUGCGUACCUUUUGUAUAAUGGGUCAGCGACUUAUAUUCUGUAGCAAGGUUAACCGAAUAGGGGAGCCGAAGGGAAACCGAGUCUUAACUGGGCGUUAAGUUGCAGGGUAUAGACCCGAAACCCGGUGAUCUAGCCAUGGGCAGGUUGAAGGUUGGGUAACACUAACUGGAGGACCGAACCGACUAAUGUUGAAAAAUUAGCGGAUGACUUGUGGCUGGGGGUGAAAGGCCAAUCAAACCGGGAGAUAGCUGGUUCUCCCCGAAAGCUAUUUAGGUAGCGCCUCGUGAAUUCAUCUCCGGGGGUAGAGCACUGUUUCGGCAAGGGGGUCAUCCCGACUUACCAACCCGAUGCAAACUGCGAAUACCGGAGAAUGUUAUCACGGGAGACACACGGCGGGUGCUAACGUCCGUCGUGAAGAGGGAAACAACCCAGACCGCCAGCUAAGGUCCCAAAGUCAUGGUUAAGUGGGAAACGAUGUGGGAAGGCCCAGACAGCCAGGAUGUUGGCUUAGAAGCAGCCAUCAUUUAAAGAAAGCGUAAUAGCUCACUGGUCGAGUCGGCCUGCGCGGAAGAUGUAACGGGGCUAAACCAUGCACCGAAGCUGCGGCAGCGACACUAUGUGUUGUUGGGUAGGGGAGCGUUCUGUAAGCCUGUGAAGGUGGCCUGUGAGGGUUGCUGGAGGUAUCAGAAGUGCGAAUGCUGACAUAAGUAACGAUAAAGCGGGUGAAAAGCCCGCUCGCCGGAAGACCAAGGGUUCCUGUCCAACGUUAAUCGGGGCAGGGUGAGUCGACCCCUAAGGCGAGGCCGAAAGGCGUAGUCGAUGGGAAACAGGUUAAUAUUCCUGUACUUGGUGUUACUGCGAAGGGGGGACGGAGAAGGCUAUGUUGGCCGGGCGACGGUUGUCCCGGUUUAAGCGUGUAGGCUGGUUUUCCAGGCAAAUCCGGAAAACCAAGGCUGAGGCGUGAUGACGAGGCACUACGGUGCUGAAGCGACAAAUGCCCUGCUUCCAGGAAAAGCCUCUAAGCAUCAGGUAACAUCAAAUCGUACCCCAAACCGACACAGGUGGUCAGGUAGAGAAUACCAAGGCGCUUGAGAGAACUCGGGUGAAGGAACUAGGCAAAAUGGUGCCGUAACUUCGGGAGAAGGCACGCUGAUAUGUAGGUGAAGCGACUUGCUCGUGGAGCUGAAAUCAGUCGAAGAUACCAGCUGGCUGCAACUGUUUAUUAAAAACACAGCACUGUGCAAACACGAAAGUGGACGUAUACGGUGUGACGCCUGCCCGGUGCCGGAAGGUUAAUUGAUGGGGUUAGCGGUAACGCGAAGCUCUUGAUCGAAGCCCCGGUAAACGGCGGCCGUAACUAUAACGGUCCUAAGGUAGCGAAAUUCCUUGUCGGGUAAGUUCCGACCUGCACGAAUGGCGUAAUGAUGGCCAGGCUGUCUCCACCCGAGACUCAGUGAAAUUGAACUCGCUGUGAAGAUGCAGUGUACCCGCGGCAAGACGGAAAGACCCCGUGAACCUUUACUAUAGCUUGACACUGAACAUUGAGCCUUGAUGUGUAGGAUAGGUGGGAGGCUUUGAAGUGUGGACGCCAGUCUGCAUGGAGCCGACCUUGAAAUACCACCCUUUAAUGUUUGAUGUUCUAACGUUGGCCCGUAAUCCGGGUUGCGGACAGUGUCUGGUGGGUAGUUUGACUGGGGCGGUCUCCUCCUAAAGAGUAACGGAGGAGCACGAAGGUUGGCUAAUCCUGGUCGGACAUCAGGAGGUUAGUGCAAUGGCAUAAGCCAGCUUGACUGCGAGCGUGACGGCGCGAGCAGGUGCGAAAGCAGGUCAUAGUGAUCCGGUGGUUCUGAAUGGAAGGGCCAUCGCUCAACGGAUAAAAGGUACUCCGGGGAUAACAGGCUGAUACCGCCCAAGAGUUCAUAUCGACGGCGGUGUUUGGCACCUCGAUGUCGGCUCAUCACAUCCUGGGGCUGAAGUAGGUCCCAAGGGUAUGGCUGUUCGCCAUUUAAAGUGGUACGCGAGCUGGGUUUAGAACGUCGUGAGACAGUUCGGUCCCUAUCUGCCGUGGGCGCUGGAGAACUGAGGGGGGCUGCUCCUAGUACGAGAGGACCGGAGUGGACGCAUCACUGGUGUUCGGGUUGUCAUGCCAAUGGCACUGCCCGGUAGCUAAAUGCGGAAGAGAUAAGUGCUGAAAGCAUCUAAGCACGAAACUUGCCCCGAGAUGAGUUCUCCCUGACUCCUUGA
RNAcentral lists this ribosomal RNA (2787 nucleotides) under Escherichia coli. RNAcentral's name for it is "bacterial LSU rRNA". It matches the Rfam family "Bacterial large subunit ribosomal RNA". The record is from RNAcentral. Lineage: Bacteria; Pseudomonadati; Pseudomonadota; Gammaproteobacteria; Enterobacterales; Enterobacteriaceae.